Molecule: ribosomal RNA, 502 nt
Filed under: uncultured bacterium
Lineage: Bacteria
Description: partial 16S ribosomal RNA
Rfam family: Bacterial small subunit ribosomal RNA
Source: RNAcentral
AUUGAACGCUGGCGGCAGGCUUAACACAUGCAAGUCGAGCGGGGUGAUGGUGCUUGCACUAUCACUUAGCGGCGGACGGGUGAGUAAUGCUUAGGAAUCUGCCUAUUAGUGGGGGACAACAUCUCGAAAGGGAUGCUAAUACCGCAUACGUCCUACGGGAGAAAGCAGGGGAUCACUCGUGACCUUGCGCUAUAGAUGAGCCUAAGUCGGAUUAGCUAGUUGGUGGGGUAAAGGCCUACCAAGGCGACGAUCUGUAGCGGGUCUGAGAGGAUGAACCGCCACACUGGGACGGAGACACGGCCCAGACUCCUACGGGAGGCAGCAGUGGGGAAUAUUGGACAAUGGGGGGAACCCUGAUCCGGCCAUGCCGCGUGUGUGAAGAAGGCCUUAUGGUUGUAAAGCACUUUAAGCGAGGAGGAGGCUCUUUUGGUUAAUACCCAAGAUGAGUGGACGUUACUCGCAGAAUAAGCACCGGCUAACUCUGUGCCAGCCGCCGCCGUAA